AUUGAACGCUGGCGGCAGGCCUAACACAUGCAAGUCGAACGAGUGGCGGACGGGUGAGUAAUGUCUGGGCUACUGCCUGAUGGAGGGGGAUAACUACUGGAAACGGUAGCUAAUACCGCAUACCGUCAUUUGUGCCCAGAUGGGAUUAGCUUGUGGGUGGGGUAACGGCUCACCAAGGCGACGCUCCCUAGCGGGUCUGAGAGGAGGACCAGCCACACUGGAACUGAGACACGGGCCAGACUCCUACGGGAGGCAGCAGUGGGGAAUAUUUCACAAUGGGCGCAAGCCUGAUGCAGCCAGGCCGCGUGGAUGAAGAAGGCCUUCGGGUGGUAAAGUACUUUCAGCGGGGAGGCGUUACCCGCAGAAGAAGCACCGGCUAACUCCGUGCCAGCAGCCGCGGUAAUUC
Molecule: ribosomal RNA, 406 nt
Filed under: uncultured bacterium
Lineage: Bacteria
Description: partial 16S ribosomal RNA
Rfam family: Bacterial small subunit ribosomal RNA
Source: RNAcentral